GUGACAGCAGCCGCGGUAAUACAGAGGGUGCAAGCGUUGUUCGGAAUUACUGGGCGUAAAGCGCGUGUAGGCGGUCUGGUAAGUCGGUCGUGAAAUCCCUUGGCUUAACCAAGGAACUGCGUCCGAAACUGUUGGACUUGAGUAUCGGAGGGGAUGGCGGAAUUCCCGGUGUAGAGGUGAAAUUCGUAGAUAUCGGGAGGAACACCUGUGGCGAAGGCGGCCAUCUGGAAGAUUACUGACGCUGAGACGCGAAAGCGUGGGGAGCAAACAGGAUUAGAUACCCCCGUAGUCC
RNAcentral lists this ribosomal RNA (292 nucleotides) under uncultured bacterium. RNAcentral describes it as "partial 16S ribosomal RNA". It matches the Rfam family "Bacterial small subunit ribosomal RNA", at positions 505 to 796 of the family's 1533-position model. The record is from RNAcentral.